RNAcentral lists this ribosomal RNA (609 nucleotides) under Uncinaria stenocephala. Its description in RNAcentral is "SSU rRNA". It matches the Rfam family "Eukaryotic small subunit ribosomal RNA", at positions 1014 to 1652 of the family's 1831-position model. The record is from RNAcentral. Lineage: Eukaryota; Metazoa; Nematoda; Chromadorea; Rhabditida; Ancylostomatidae.
ACCGCCCUAGUUCUGACCGUAAACUAUGCCAUCUAGCGAUCCGAUGGGGUAUUGUUGCCUUGUCGAGGAGCUUCCCGGAAACGAAAGUCUUUCGGUUCCUGGGGUAGUAUGGUUGCAAAGCUGAAACUUAAAGAAAUUGACGGAAUGGCACCACCAGGAGUGGAGCCUGCGGCUUAAUUUGACUCAACACGGGAAAACUCACCCGGCCCGGACACCGUAAGGAUUGACAGAUUGAAAGCUCUUUCUCGAUUUGGUGGUUGGUGGUGCAUGGCCGUUCUUAGUUGGUGGAGCGAUUUGUCUGGUUUAUUCCGAUAACGAGCGAGACUCUAGCCUGCUAAAUAGUGGCUGGAUUUUCACGUCCAGUCUACUUCUUAGAGGGAUAAGCGGUGUUUAGCCGCACGAGAUUGAGCGAUAACAGGUCUGUGAUGCCCUUAGAUGUCCGGGGCUGCACGCGCGCUACAAUGGAAGAAUCAGCUGGCCUAUCCAUUGCCGAAAGGCAUUGGUAAACCGUUGAAACUCUUCCGUGACCGGGAUAGGGAAUUGUAAUUAUUUCCCUUGAACGAGGAAUUCCUAGUAAGUGUGAGUCAUCAGCUCACGCUGAUUACGUCC